This 164-nucleotide small nuclear RNA is filed under the name Castor canadensis (American beaver). RNAcentral describes it as "U1 spliceosomal RNA (ENSCCNG00000017833.1)". It matches the Rfam family "U1 spliceosomal RNA". Rfam says of the family: U1 is a small nuclear RNA (snRNA) component of the spliceosome (involved in pre-mRNA splicing). Its 5' end forms complementary base pairs with the 5' splice junction, thus defining the 5' donor site of an intron. Lineage: Eukaryota; Metazoa; Chordata; Mammalia; Rodentia; Castoridae. The record is from Rfam by way of RNAcentral.
AUACUUACCUGGCAGGGGAGAUACCAUGAUCACGAAGGUGGUUUUCCCAGGGCUAGGCUUAUCCAUUGCACUCUGGAUGUGCUGACCCCUGCGAUUUCCCCAAAUGUGGGAAACUCGACUGCAUAAUUUGUGGUAGUGGGGGACUGCAUUCGCGCUCUCCCCUG